This 419-nucleotide ribosomal RNA is filed under the name uncultured bacterium. Its description in RNAcentral is "bacterial SSU rRNA". It matches the Rfam family "Bacterial small subunit ribosomal RNA", at positions 356 to 772 of the family's 1533-position model. The record is from RNAcentral.
AGGGAAUAUUGGGCAAUGGAGGCAACUCUGACCCAGCCAUGCCGCGUGCAGGAUGAAGGCGCUCAGCGUCGUAAACUGCUUUUAUCUGGGAAGAACUGUGGUCCUGCGGGAUUAUUUGACGGUACCAGAGGAAUAAGCACCGGCUAACUCCGUGCCAGCAGCCGCGGUAAUACGGAGGGUGCAAGCGUUGUCCGGAUUUAUUGGGUUUAAAGGGUGCGCAGGUGGGUAUUUAAGUCUGGUUUGAAAGCAGGUGGCUCAACCAUCUGAUGUGGCUGGAAACUGGAUAUCUUGAAUGGGUUGGCGGUAGCCGGAAUGGGUCAUGUAGCGGUGAAAUGCAUAGAUAUGACCCGGAACACCGAUUGCGAAGGCAGGCUACUACGACUUGAUUGACACUGAGGCACGAGAGCAUGGGUAGCGAA